This is a long non-coding RNA of Drosophila montana, 1405 nucleotides long. RefSeq lists it as uncharacterized. The transcript is spliced from 4 exons. The record is from RefSeq and is a predicted model, not a curated record. Lineage: Eukaryota; Metazoa; Arthropoda; Insecta; Diptera; Drosophilidae.
UGUGGAGAGAUAAGGGCUCAAUUAAGAUUUAAGAUCGGGUCCCGGUUCCGGAUCCAGCGUACCCGCCCUACCAUGAGACGAUCACCUUUACUCGUCUCGCUCGUUUUGGCCACUAGAUGGCCUGCAUCAGCCCGUGUCGGCUGUUAUUCCCCCUCUCCCCAUCAAGUUAAACUUAGCCGGACAAUUCUCUUUUCAAUAUGUGUCUCCAUUCAGAUAAUUUCGUUAUCAUGCGUGUGAACAUUUGUUCACCAGUGCGUUUUAUUUACUUUAACAACAUUAAAUGGAACAGGCGACGAAAAACUACAAAGUUAUUGCCAGUCAACAAAAAAAAAAAAGAAGGAAAGAUAUAAAUACCAGGUAUAUCUUUAUAUAAAAGAAAUAAUUCUAAUGAUGGCAGACUGGCAAGAAUACCAAAAGCCUCGCAGACAGACACACCGGCACACAGACAAACAGACAGAAAGGCAGACCAAUAGACCCGCAGACAGUCAGAUGCACGGGAAGACAGAGAGAGGCAGACAGACAGGUAGACAGACACGCAGACCCACAGACUCGCAGACAUACAGACACACAGGAAGAGAGCGAGAGAGAGAGAGAUUCACAGACAGGCAGGCAGACAGAUAGGCAGGAAUACCUACAGCCUUGCAAACAGACAUACCGGCAGAGACAGACAGGUAGACUAACAGACAGACAGAUACGUGGACGGAGAGACAGGCAGACAGACAGACAGUUACACAGACAGACAGACAGAAAGGUAGACAGAUUGACAGAUAAGCAAACGGUCACACAAACCCAUAGACUCGCAGACAUACAGACCCACAGGAAGAGAGAGAGAUACACAGAUAGUCAGGCAAACAGAAAGACAGGAAUACCUACCUCCUCGAUGACAGACACACCGGCAGAGACAGACAGGUAGACUUACAGACAGACAGAUAUAUUGACAGAAAGACUGGCAGACAGACAGACAGGUACACAGACAGACAGGUACACCGACAGACAGGUAGGCACACAGACCGGCAGACAGACAGACCGGCAGACAGACUGACAGAUAGGAAUAUAGGCAAACGGCCACACAGACCCACAGACUCGCAUACAUACAGAUACACUGAAAGAGAGAGAUACACAGACAGUAAGGCUACAGAUAGGCAGACACAGCGGAAAAGACAGCAGGCUGAUAUACAGACAGGCAGAGCAGACAGAUAGAGUUACAGACAGACAGAUAUGUCGACAGAGAGACAGGCAGACGGGCAGACAGACAGACAGGUACACAGAUAUACAGACAGAAAGGCAGAAUGACAGACCGGCAGACAGACUGACAGAUAGGAAGGUAGGCAGACGGUCACACAGACCCACAGACUCGCAGACGUACAGGCGCACAGGAAGAGAGAGAGAGAUACACAGACAGUCA